UACGUAGGGUGCAAGCGUUGUCCGGAAUUAUUGGGCGUAAAGAGCUCGUAGGCGGUCUGCUAAGCGUGCGGUGAAAGCCUGGGGCUCAACCCCAGGUCUGCCGUGCGAACUGGUGGACUAGAGCACUGUAGAGGCAGGUGGAAUUCCGGGUGUAGCGGUGGAAUGCGUAGAGAUCCGGAAGAACACCGGUGGCGAAGGCGGCCUGCUGGGCAGUUGCUGACGCUGAGGCGCGACAGCGUGGGGAGCAAACAGG
RNAcentral lists this ribosomal RNA (253 nucleotides) under uncultured bacterium. RNAcentral's name for it is "partial 16S ribosomal RNA". It matches the Rfam family "Bacterial small subunit ribosomal RNA", at positions 524 to 776 of the family's 1533-position model. The record is from RNAcentral.